This 253-nucleotide ribosomal RNA is filed under the name uncultured bacterium. RNAcentral's name for it is "partial 16S ribosomal RNA". It matches the Rfam family "Bacterial small subunit ribosomal RNA", at positions 524 to 776 of the family's 1533-position model. The record is from RNAcentral.
GACGAACCGUCCUAACGUUGUUCGGAAUCACUGGGCUUAAAGGGCGCGUAGGCGGGUGGCAAAGUCAGGGGUGAAAUCUUUCGGCUUAACCGGAAAAGUGCCCCUGAUACUGGCCGUCUAGAGGGAGGUAGGGGUCUGUGGAACUUCUGGUGGAGCGGUGAAAUGCGUUGAUAUCAGAAGGAACGCCGGUGGCGAAAGCGACGGACUGGACCUCUUCUGACGCUGAGGCGCGAAAGCUAGGGGAGCGAACGGG